GCUUGUAUCACUGUACCAAUUUUAAGUACGUCCAAAUUUAGCCUCGUGUUCAUUAUUUUAUCUGGACAUGGAAGUAUUUUUGAAUUUUUGGAAUCUUGCAUUUAUUUGUAUUUUCUACAGAACUGCAGAUCUUUCUUAGCAAACAAAGGAUAUGUGGUAUGUCAGCACAUGAUUUUAUUCAAGAGAGGUACCUUGUUUCUUGCUUAGUAUGUUCUAAUUAAGGUUUAUUUUAACUCAACUGACAUGUACCAGGUUUUAUCAUCGGAAAUAAAUGAUCAAAGUAUUUGUCAGGUGUUGACUAGUACUCUCCUCUUAUGUGUACAGAGCUACUGAUGCCACGGCCUUGAACCUUUGUAAUGUGCUCCUCCUUUAAAUUUUAUUGCUCUAUUAACUUGGUUUUCCCUUUUGUAAGUUACUCAUCUCAUUUCUUUGCUUCUUUGUGGAUGUAGAUUGCAAGAUAAACAGAUGAUGCAUGGCUCAGAUGUUGAUUGUAAGGUCAAGAAUGGGGAUGGUAGUUAGAUAAUUAGAAUGCCAUUUUCAGGGUCAAUGUUUCAAACAUUGUGUUUUAGAAUGGCUGAUAAGUAUUGAUUGCAAGGUCAAGAAUUGCCUACUAGUACUAGGUAGUUUCACAUCUUGUAAACUUUGGAUCAUGUUCUUUGUAAUGAAAGAUAUUCGAUUAAAUAUAUGAGACAUUUUUGCUCAUUAUAUUGUGUCUCCAAUGCUCUAUCAGCAUUGUCUAGUAAUUCUGGAAAUACCAUGAAUUGUUCAU
This 769-nucleotide long non-coding RNA is filed under the name Triticum aestivum (bread wheat). RNAcentral describes it as "long non-coding RNA (TAES_LNC001381)". Lineage: Eukaryota; Viridiplantae; Streptophyta; Magnoliopsida; Poales; Poaceae. The record is from RNAcentral.